This 395-nucleotide ribosomal RNA is filed under the name uncultured bacterium. Its description in RNAcentral is "partial 16S ribosomal RNA". It matches the Rfam family "Bacterial small subunit ribosomal RNA", at positions 338 to 730 of the family's 1533-position model. The record is from RNAcentral.
CCUACGGGAGGCUGCAGUGAGGAAUAUUGGUCAAUGGGCGUAAGCCUGAACCAGCCAAGUCGCGUGAGGGAAGAAGGUCCUAUGGAUUGUAAACCUCUUUUAUCAGGGAGCAAAGGGCGCGACGUGUCCCGUUCCGAAUGUACCCUAUGAAAAAGGAUCGGCUAACCCCGUGCCAGCAGCCGCGGUAAUACGGAGGAUGCGAGCGUUAUCCGGAUUUAUUGGGGUUAAAGGGUGCGCAGGCGGAAAUUUAAGUCAGCGGUGAAAGUCGGUGGCUCAACCAUUGCAGUGCCGUUGAAACUGGGGUGCUGGAGUGUGUGAGAAGUAUGCGGAAUGCGUGGUGUAGCGGUGAAAUGCAUAGAUAUCACGCAGAACCCCGAUUGCGAAGGCAGCAUACC